This 254-nucleotide ribosomal RNA is filed under the name uncultured bacterium. RNAcentral describes it as "partial 16S ribosomal RNA". It matches the Rfam family "Bacterial small subunit ribosomal RNA", at positions 524 to 776 of the family's 1533-position model. The record is from RNAcentral.
UACGUAGGGGGCAAGCGUUGUCCGGAUUCAUUGGGCGUAAAGAGCUCGUAGGCGGUUCAGUAAGUCAGGUGUGAAAUCUCCGCGCUCAUCGCGGAGCGGCCACCUGAUACUGCUGUGACUCGAGUCCGGUAGGGGAGUGUGGAAUUCCCGGUGUAGCGGUGAAAUGCGCAGAUAUCGGGAGGAACACCAGUGGCGAAGGCGGCACUCUGGGCCGUGACUGACGCUGAGGAGCGAAAGCGUGGGUAGCAAACAGG